This 362-nucleotide ribosomal RNA is filed under the name Photobacterium aquimaris. RNAcentral's name for it is "bacterial SSU rRNA". It matches the Rfam family "Bacterial small subunit ribosomal RNA", at positions 1 to 342 of the family's 1533-position model. The record is from RNAcentral. Lineage: Bacteria; Pseudomonadati; Pseudomonadota; Gammaproteobacteria; Vibrionales; Vibrionaceae.
UUAAUUGAAGAGUUUGAUCAUGGCUCAGAUUGAACGCUGGCGGCAGGCCUAACACAUGCAAGUCGAGCGGUAACAGAUUGAUAGCUUGCUAUCAAUGCUGACGAGCGGCGGACGGGUGAGUAAUGCCUGGGAAUAUACCUCAGUGUGGGGGAUAACUAUUGGAAACGAUAGCUAAUACCGCAUAAUCUCCGAUCUUUUACGAGAUGGGAGCAAAGAGGGGGACCUUCGGGCCUCUCGCGCUGAGAUUAGCCCAGGUGGGAUUAGCUAGUUGGUGGGGUAAUGGCUCACCAAGGCGACGAUCCCUAGCUGGUCUGAGAGGAUGAUCAGCCACACUGGAACUGAGACACGGUCCAGACUCCUAC